UUUCACAGGAGAUUGAAUAGGUUUAUUUACAAGAUGGCUUUUUACAAACAACCAAAGUACAGAAUAAAUAAGAGUAUAACCAGCAUAGCACAGACUGAUCCAUUCAAAUCAAACACAUAUUAAGUGAUAUGCACUCAUUCCAUUAAAGGGAUGAACACUGCAUUUGGCAAGCUGUGUUAAGUGAGGAAGUGGUGUAUGGUCAAGUUAAGCAAACCUUUGUACACUGCCAAAUAAAUCUUACAGUUGCACGUCUUGUAAAUAAAAUAGCAGCUAGAUUUUUAGUUUUUCCACAUAUUUACACACAUUUCAUUAAAUACUUUAUAGACAUUCACGAAGGUGACAAUUAAGCCAUGUGUGGUUUUGCUGUAACUUUAUUGCUUCAUAGAACGGUUAUGUCACAAGGGUAGGCAUGACUACCUCAAAGGAAAGGGAUCUGAAAACAGAAAUUGAAGCAGAAGGCAAGACAAGUAGAAGAAAUAUGUACACAUCUAUUUUAUAUAGUUGCUCUCCCUUUGGCAUUUAAUGCGUUAAGUGUAAAGUGUUGAUACCAGGACAUUGCCCUAUAGACUAUGCUGCGUAGUCUGCACUGAUCGCCACCAUGGAGACUUCAGAUUUUUGCAGUGUAAAGGCUGAAUAUGGGAAGAUAUAAUACAAUAUCUGCAGUGGCAAGGUUAGCCAUUAUUGUAGUCAAAGAUGCUCUAAUGGACUAUUUUUUCCACCUUGGAUAAUCACUAAAUAGAAUGAGUUGUUUAACCCCCUUAAGGACACAUGACGGAAACAUUCCGUCAUGAUUCCCUUUUAUUCCAGAAGUUGUGUCCUUUAAUAAAUAAAGGGUCUCUUGGAAGAGAAUGUAAAUAGCUGACUGGUGUUACAGGUAGACUGAAGGGCACAUUUAACAUCAUAUAACAAUUGCACUAAAUACAGCUGCAGUUAAAGUUGUACCAGAAAAUAGUUGGCUUAAAUUUGGGUCUAAAAUGAGAAUAAAAUGAGAACCAUUAAAAGGCACACUCCAAACACCAUAUCCACUACAGAUUGCGGUAGUGUUCACGGUGCCAGCCGGGUCCUGGUGCCACCCCAUAUAUAAAGUAGUCCAACAGUUUGGCAAGAGAUCAUUUAAUGCUGUAACUGAAUAAACUCUACAUAUUGCACAGUGCUUACCAAGUGUUUCACACAUUUAUUGCAUAAGCUUAUUUCAUAACAAAACAUGUUCACAAGGAGGGGGUGGGGAUACACCACUUUCUCCAACAGAGAAUAAGAGGGAAGAAAAUAAACCAAAACCAAACCGAAUCUAAUAAAAAAAAUAAAAAAUAGAUGUCACCAUAUUCUGUGUCGUAGUCCAUCUUUAGUUCAUUCAGGAUUUCAAAGCAACUACCACCAAUCAGGUUCUGAUGUAGCAAUCUACUUCAUUCUAAAUUAUAAGUGCAAUGCUACAUACAAGAACUAGGAAUUACAUUUUUUAAUUUUUUUUUAAAUGGCGACAUGUUGGAGGAAAGGUGGUGGUGGGGGGGUUGAAGGGAGGAUACAUGUAAAGUGUUCAAAAUUGACAAUCCAGAGACCUCCAGUGGAAAUCGCCUUACAAAUCACUUCUGUGCAAACCUUGUCUGGUAUUUCAAGAAGGAUUAGACAAAUUGUUUUUAUUGUGCCACUGUGUUCUAAUGUUAAGCCGACCAUAGCAUGCAGUCUAUCAUGUUUUGCAGGAACUUGCUGGGGGGGGGGUAGGGGGCGAGGGAUAAAAUGAGGUGAUAAUUCAAGAUUGCUGAUCUAUUAAACAAGGCACAUUAUGCUAGCUUUUUAAAACUUCAAGAGUUCCCUUCCUCUUUAAACUUCAUAUAUUGGCACAAAUCUAAAAUAAAGACCAGUAGAAAAAGCCAAUAAUGCACACUGACCACCAGCCUCUUUCCAGAAUUACAGAGAGUACAUACCGAGAGCCAUACAGAGUAAUGGUCUGAAACUAUGGAGGUAACCAGUAAAAGUGUCCUGUCUAAACAAGUUGCUAUGCUCCAUCAAUGAUUUUCCAGCAGUCAGCCUUGGACUAUAAGUGUACAUGCAGAUGUUAAAACACCAGUCUUUUUAGAUGUUUGGUGGAGGGGCAAAGAAAACAGAAUUUGGGGCACAGUGCCUUAAUGUUCUCAUACACACCUUAAGUAUAUAGUGCUAUACAUGGCAAAAGAGCCCUUAGAUGGCAGUUUAUAUAGUGAUUCAAUGGCCUCAUUUAUAUUCUAGACAGCUAGGACUUCACAGGAUCUAGAUUAUAAAAUAGGACUAAAUAUCUAAAAAAAAAAUUCUCUAUUUAAAAGUCUAAAGAAACAGAUCUUUAAAAAAAAAUAAAAAAAAAAAUUAUCCAACAAUAUAAAGUUCAGAUCUCUAUACUAGCUUUAUCGAGAAAAAAAAAAUAAUUAAAAAUCUAGUCACCAGAGUGAGCAAAUGGUUCACUCCUUAACAAGGCAAAAAAUACUUUGCUGAUUGCAUCAAAUAAAGGAAGUGGGACAGCAAUAAUUCUGGAGAAAGCCUUCCUUCAGACGCUUGCUUAAUGUGUCGAAGAAAUACAUCUAAAGUGAAAGCAAUGCUAUAAAAUCGGAAGAAAAACAAAACAUGGAAUCUUAAUGUUGGUUCUUUCAUGCAAGUAAUGUUCCAAAGCCAUAUAUAAAAAAAAUAUAUAAAUAAAACACUCAACACCCUACCAGUGAAUAAACUUGCACCAUUCAAAAUUGAAACUAGUUUCCUCAACAACUUGCUCAUUUCUUCUUCUUCACGCUGGGGGCAUAGGGGACAAAUUUUCC
RNAcentral lists this long non-coding RNA (2780 nucleotides) under Pelobates cultripes (western spadefoot toad). The record is from RNAcentral. Lineage: Eukaryota; Metazoa; Chordata; Amphibia; Anura; Pelobatidae.